Long non-coding RNA from Acipenser ruthenus (sterlet), 942 nucleotides. RefSeq lists it as uncharacterized. Lineage: Eukaryota; Metazoa; Chordata; Actinopteri; Acipenseriformes; Acipenseridae. The record is from RefSeq and is a predicted model, not a curated record. The transcript is spliced from 3 exons.
UUAAUGUGUAAUUUCCUGUUUCAUAAGUUUGAAUAUUGUAAUUUACGGUAUAUCAUGUGCAUGUGUUACACCUUUUAGUCUUGAAAAACUUCAUUGCAACUUCAAAUACUGUCCUACCUUUUCUAUAUUGAUAUAGUCUUCCACGUUGUUGUUUUUUAAGAGUGCAUGUUUUUAGUUUUCGAUAAUGAACAGAAAGAUGUUGCUCUCCAGUUCUACUCUCAGACGAAGGGCCCGUGCAAAUGUAGACAGACUGCUCAGAAGAGUGACUGAAGAAAAUGAAAUGCAGAUGAUUACCUGAAGGCAAGACAGAAGUUAAGACUCCUUAACUUGCUCAACAUCAGAUUUGGAGUCAGAAAAGGAAGACGAUGUGACAAAGCCAAAGAGACAAAGGACGGCCAGAAUUCGGUUUGGCGACACUGAUAGUGACAUCGAUGAUAGUGCGUCAAAAAGGGUUCAAGAAAGACAAUAAAAAGCUCCCUGCCAGCUGCAGCAGCAGUACCUCGCCCACCUUCAACUUCACCUGCUACACAAAGACCACAAGUAAGUGCAUCACCUAGCCAGCCUCCAGAUGAGUGUGUUGAAGACUUCAUUCAGUCACCUUCAAUGAUGGCACAGACACCAAGGAGAGUCACUGCUGUACCCACUAGACUGGAUUUCACUCGACCAUCAAGAAGUGAAAUGCUCACUUUCACUCCCACCGGUAGAGUUGGGAGGACUGGAACUGCAUCUAUUCCUUGCACUGGUAAUCUCCUCAUCAUGAUGUUAUUUUAGACCUAGAAAUGCUUAUUUGUACCAGUGUUGUUUGAACUCUCUGGAUGCCAGAGUAAGAUGGCAGCCUUUUUUCUUCAGCAGAGUACGGAGUGCAUUCAGUGUGUGCUCAUCUGUUGAUAACUCUUCAGCAGAGUACGGAGUGCAUUCAGUGUGUGCCCGUCUGUUGAUAAC